UCGAGCGAACAGAUGAGAAGCUUGCUUCUCUGAUGUUAGCGGCGGACGGGUGAGUAACACGUGGGUAACCUACCUAUAAGACUGGGAUAACUCCGGGAAACCGGGGCUAAUACCGGAUAAUAUUUUGAACCGCAUGGUUCAAUAGUGAAAGACGGUUUCGGCUGUCACUUAUAGAUGGACCCGCGCCGUAUUAGCUAGUUGGUAAGGUAACGGCUUACCAAGGCGACGAUACGUAGCCGACCUGAGAGGGUGAUCGGCCACACUGGAACUGAGACACGGUCCAGACUCCUACGGGAGGCAGCAGUAGGGAAUCUUCCGCAAUGGGCGAAAGCCUGACGGAGCAACGCCGCGUGAGUGAUGAAGGUCUUCGGAUCGUAAAACUCUGUUGUUAGGGAAGAACAAAUUUGUUAGUAACUGAACAAGUCUUGACGGUACCUAACCAGAAAGCCACGGCUAACUACGUGCCAGCAGCCGCGGUAAUACGUAGGUGGCAAGCGUUAUCCGGAAUUAUUGGGCGUAAAGCGCGCGUAGGCGGUUUCUUAAGUCUGAUGUGAAAGCCCACGGCUCAACCGUGGAGGGUCAUUGGAAACUGGGAAACUUGAGUGCAGAAGAGGAGAGUGGAAUUCCAUGUGUAGCGGUGAAAUGCGCAGAGAUAUGGAGGAACACCAGUGGCGAAGGCGGCUCUCUGGUCUGUAACUGACGCUGAUGUGCGAAAGCGUGGGGAUCAAACAGGAUUAGAUACCCUGGUAGUCCACGCCGUAAACGAUGAGUGCUAAGUGUUAGGGGGUUUCCGCCCCUUAGUGCUGCAGCUAACGCAUUAAGCACUCCGCCUGGGGAGUACGACCGCAGGUUUGAUACUCAAAGGAAUUGACGG
This 874-nucleotide ribosomal RNA is filed under the name Mammaliicoccus sciuri. RNAcentral's name for it is "bacterial SSU rRNA". It matches the Rfam family "Bacterial small subunit ribosomal RNA", at positions 62 to 916 of the family's 1533-position model. Lineage: Bacteria; Bacillati; Bacillota; Bacilli; Caryophanales; Staphylococcaceae. The record is from RNAcentral.